This 484-nucleotide ribosomal RNA is filed under the name uncultured bacterium. Its description in RNAcentral is "partial 16S ribosomal RNA". It matches the Rfam family "Bacterial small subunit ribosomal RNA", at positions 28 to 523 of the family's 1533-position model. The record is from RNAcentral.
GACGAUCGCUGGGGGCGUGCUUAACACAUGCAAGUCGAACGAUGAACCCGGAGCUUGCUCCGGUGGAUUAGUGGCGAACGGGUGAAUAACACGUGAGUAACCUGCCCUUGACUCUGGGAUAACUGCGGGAAACUGUAGCUAAUACCGGAUACGACCCUCGGCGGCAUCGCCAGGGGGUGGAAAGAAUUUCGGUCAAGGAUGGACUCGCGGCCUAUCAGCUAGUUGGUGAGGUAACGGCUCACCAAGGCGACGACGGGUAGCCGGCCUGAGAGGGGGACCGGCCACACUGGGACUGAGACACGGCCCAGACUCCUACGGGAGGCAGCAGUGGGGAAUAUUGCACAAUGGGCGCAAGCCUGAUGCAGCAACGCCGCGUGAGGGAUGACGGCCUUCGGGUUGUAAACCUCUUUCAGCACCGACGAAGCGCAAGUGACGGUAGGUGCAGAAGAAGGACCGGCCAACUACGUGCCAGCCGCCGCCGUAA